UGAGGAGGAAAGCUGCAGAGCUUCCUUCUCAGUUUACCCACAGCUCCCACUGAGCCAACACUCACCGGGCUACACACGGACACUAUCACAAAAUGGAACCAGGAACGGAUGAAUCUCCCGAAAACCUAUGGAGAUUAAAAUCUCUUUUUGAGGGAGAAUUUGCCAAGACGACCACGUGAAACCAAAUGGUAUCACAGAGGAAGAUCCCUGAUGACUAACUGCUGUGUGCCAAGACGUGUUGUGGAUAGGAAUGUUGUACGCCUUCUGAGAAACCGGACCGAAGGGAACACAAGCUGAGGACUACCUUCACUGUGGUGUCUGGGGAGGGGCAAGGCUCAGUUGAGUGGUUCACCAGCAUCGGAAACGAGCAAACUGUUUCGUUUGUGCUGACCCGUGAGGAGUUCACAGACAAACUGGGGCCGAUGUGCAGGGGAGUUAUGAAAAGAUUUCAGUUGGCCAAUCAACCUGUCCCCAAAAUCCUGUACGUGGACCGUGGGUGUUGCCGAGCACAGGACCCAACAGCAGUGGAGACUUUGUUUCAGCCUGGGGUGGACUGUGGGUUGGUUGUGUGUCUGGGCAUCUUCCACUGGAUCCACUGGUUUGAGUCCCACUCCAAGUACGCUGCUUUUAAAUCUGCGCUCGCCUGAGCAGUGCUGGCCUACAAUCACAGUCAGUCAGAGCUAAAAAUCCAGCAGUGCUGCAGUCUGCCUCUGAUAAUGACGUUGUCAGGAGCAGCUGAAGCAUCAUGUGCAGAGGGUGACACUCGGGGCUCAGGAAACAUUUCAGCUCAUCCACCUGAUGAGUAGCUUAAAGAUCCUGCUGGAUUGGAUGAGAGUGGAGUGAGCCUCUUCAGAACACCUGGUAACAGACAAAAUUAAUACAACAUUGAUACACACAGUGCAGCGUACAAAGUGAACAUAACACACUGUAUGUAUGUGUGUUUACAGAGGCCAUUGAUGGGAUGUGGGCAGCACAACAGAGACAUCUGCAGUGCAUCCAGGAUCCACCAGACAUUAACAUGUACAAGGUGGCACAAACCAACCAUCAACAACAUGGAUGUGUCCUCCUCCAAGUGCCUGCAUGUGUAACAGAGAGAGCUGGGCCAGACCAGCCACACAUGGAAACAUCAGCCUGGAAGGAUUCCACAAGACUUUGUCAAGCAGGAUUCCAGGGGCAGAGGAUGGUGUUACUGGAACUACUCUGCACCGCUGAUCAACCACCUCAACACCUCCUGUCAGCAGCUGUCUGGGGAGACUGGAGGAGAAUUUCAGGAUCCCUGCUGUUGUCUCCUCCAACGAGCUGCUUGAGUAUGGGGGAAUCCAGACCCUUCUCUCUUCAGGACAUCAUCAACGAUGGACCUGGUCCCGAGCAGGAGGAGGUUCAGUCUGGGCAGCCUGAUCCAGACGAGGCUGAUGACGGGGAGGAACAUGAGCUGGAUGCUGACCUGCCCCACAUCACGCUUAACUAGUGAGGAAACUAUCACCAGGCCUGCAUCAUCCCUCGCUGUAUCCACAGCAGCCCAAAAGAUUGCUGGCGUCUCUGGGAUUACUGGCCCCUCCAGACAGCCCAUCCUGCUUGCUUCAUCAGACCCUGCAACUGCAGCUCACACUGCUGGCACACCUGUGACUACUUCUUCGUGCUGGACAAGAGCAACGCUGUACAAGCAGAAGCUGAAGGGCUACCAGGGUGCAAAAUCUGCCAGCAUGUACAGUCUGUGGCCAGCCAACACAGGGACAUAGAAAGUAGAAAAAAGGCUUUCUGCCCAGUAACAAUGAUGUCCCCGUUUAAAGGUCUGAGCAACAGAGUGUUUACCAGCUACGAGCACUUCACCUCUGCUGUUGACAGUUUGAAUUGUAAAUAUGCUGUAAAUACGCAAGGUUGCUUUGUACAUUUUGUAUGUUUGGGGCACUGAAUUGUAAAUAUCUGUAAAUAUGUUAGAGUUGCUUUUUAUAUGCUGUGAUUGAUUUAGAAAUACAUUAGGUUUGCUUUGUAUAUACUGUAAAUAAUUUUCAUUAGUCUGAGUUUUUAUUUAGUUUUUUACACUUAAAUUGUCUAAAAUCCUGUGUACUGUAUUAUUUUUAUUCAAUAAAGUG
Amphiprion ocellaris (clown anemonefish) is the source of this 2093-nucleotide long non-coding RNA. The record is from Ensembl. NCBI's taxonomy places the organism in Eukaryota, Metazoa, Chordata, Actinopteri, Pomacentridae.